RNAcentral lists this ribosomal RNA (427 nucleotides) under uncultured bacterium. RNAcentral describes it as "bacterial SSU rRNA". It matches the Rfam family "Bacterial small subunit ribosomal RNA", at positions 354 to 796 of the family's 1533-position model. The record is from RNAcentral.
GUGGGGAAUAUUGGGCAAUGGACGCAAGUCUGACCCAGCAACGCCGCGUGAAGGAAGAAGGCUUUCGGGUUGUAAACUUCUUUUGUCAGGGAAGAGUAGAAGACGGUACCUGACGAAUAAGCCACGGCUAACUACGUGCCAGCAGCCGCGGUAAUACGUAGGUGGCAAGCGUUGUCCGGAUUUACUGGGUGUAAAGGGCGUGUAGCCGGGUGUGCAAGUCAGAUGUGAAAUCUGGAGGCUCAACCUCCAAACUGCAUUUGAAACUGUGCAUCUUGAGUAUCGGAGAGGUAAUCGGAAUUCCUUGUGUAGCGGUGAAAUGCGUAGAUAUAAGGAAGAACACCAGUGGCGAAGGCGGAUUACUGGACGACAACUGACGGUGAGGCGCGAAAGCGUGGGGAGCAAACAGGAUUAGAUACCCGUGUAGUCC